RNAcentral lists this unclassified non-coding RNA (200 nucleotides) under Mortierella sp. Its description in RNAcentral is "partial internal transcribed spacer 2". The record is from RNAcentral. Lineage: Eukaryota; Fungi; Mortierellomycota; Mortierellomycetes; Mortierellales; Mortierellaceae.
UUAAGUUCAGCGGGUAGUCUUACUUGAUUUGAGAUCGAGUUUAACGGGUAAUCGUUGCCGAUCCCCCGAAAAUUCCUGCAUCAGUCAGCAAGAGGACAAUCAACCUUUACGUUGGCUGCAGCAAAAAGUAAUAAUCCGUUUAACGGGACUAAAUAAAUAUGCUUAUAGCCCAGAUGAAAAUCCAGCUGCACCUGCAUUUC